Molecule: unclassified non-coding RNA, 471 nt
Filed under: uncultured Entrophospora
Lineage: Eukaryota; Fungi; Glomeromycota; Glomeromycetes; Entrophosporales; Entrophosporaceae
Description: SSU rRNA
Rfam family: Eukaryotic small subunit ribosomal RNA
Source: RNAcentral
AGCAGCCGCGGUAAUUCCAGCUCCAAUAGCGUAUAUUAAAGUUGUUGCAGUUAAAAGCUCGUAGUUGAAUUUCGGGAUUGGCGCAUCGGUCGUGCCUCACGGGGUAUGAACUGGUGCAGUCAAUUUCUCACCUUCUGGAGAACCGCGAUGUCCUUAAUUGGAUGCCGCGGGGAACCAGGACCUUUACUUUGAAAAAUUGAGUUGUUUAAAGCAGGCUAUUUUUGCUUGAAUACAUUAGCAUGGAAUAAUAAAAUAGGACGGCAUGGUUCUAUUUUGUUGGUUUCUAGGACCACCGUAAUGAUUAAUAGGGAUAGUUGGGGGCAUUAGUAUUCAAUUGUCAGAGGUGAAAUUCUUGGAUUUAUUGAAGACUAACUACUGCGAAAGCAUUUGCCAAGGAUGUUUUCAUUAAAUCAAGAACGAAAGUUAGGGAUCGAAGACGAUCAGAUCCGUCGUAGUCUUAACCAUAAACUA